This is a long non-coding RNA of Ipomoea triloba (trilobed morning glory), 2421 nucleotides long. RefSeq lists it as uncharacterized. The transcript is spliced from 2 exons. NCBI's taxonomy places the organism in Eukaryota, Viridiplantae, Streptophyta, Magnoliopsida, Solanales, Convolvulaceae. The record is from RefSeq and is a predicted model, not a curated record.
CUUCACCGGCCACCCAAUGCACCUUUGACAUAGCCAAGAAUGGAAGAGAGGAAGAGGCAGCAGAGAUUUGGGAUUUUCUUGAAAGGGUGGUUGACACCUCUGUUUGCCAAUGAUUUUUCCAUUUUCAACAGCCCUUUCAUUCUUUUUGCCCAAAAAAGAAAGGGAAAGCAUACAAAUUAUGUGAUUAUUUUCUUUUGAAGCUGUUCAUCUCAAUCUGCUCGUGGAAAUCUGUUUUCUGAUACAUCCUUUGGUUACCUGUAAUCUUACUAGGGAAAAAUGCUAUUGACGCAGAUUAUUUCCACCAUAUGAGGCUAUGAUGAUGUUUCCCUGUUUCUGUUUCUGCUUCUUUCUAGACCACUAAUUUUGGGGCACUUGAGAUGAUCCAAUCUGUAUCUUGGCGGGGUGGUCCGGAAUAUGCCCGGUUCUUUGCAGCCAUGGCGAUGUUGGCUUCUCUCUUGCCCCCAUUAGUAAACAAAUCUGAGCCUCAAGCUAUAGGACAUCUGUUCAUUGACGGCCCCUAUUACAUUCCUACUUAAAGAAUGAGGCUUUACCGAGAAAUGAAGUUUUUUUUGGGUGGUUGCACUUCUCUGGUUAGCCUAUGAUUUGCUUUUGUUUCUUCCAUGCAACAGCCCUUCCACACACACAAUAUGUGUGUGUAUGUAUCUGUGGAUCUGUGGGUAUAUAUAUAUCAGCUAGGUUUGCCGUACGAUACUCUCAGGUUAGUAAACAGACCCUUAAGUGUCAGCUCAAAGAUUGAGGGUUUACAGAGAAAUGGAGAAUUUCCAUGGAAGGGAAAAACAAAGUUGAUUAUGGGGCAAUGAUGAUAUACUUUUAAGCAAAGUAAGUGUAUUUUGAUUAUAUGACCCAUGUUUUGGCAUGGCAACCUGGAUUUUCUCAUUGACUAGCUGGGAUUUGCAGCCAAGGUGGUGUCAAGUGUUUAAAUAUCAGAAUUAUGAAAAUCUGAGCCUCAUUCUCUAUAUACAUUUUAAAGAUGGAAUAGGUUUCACUUAGAAAGACGGCAAAAAUGAAGCAAACCAAGAGCUGGGACUUCUUCUAAGGGUGGUUGCCCCUCUUGGUUUCAGCUUAUGAUUUCUCUGUUUUCAUUUACAUAAAAUAAGAAACCAACAGCCCUUCAUUUUUUCAAGAAAACUACAUUCAUUUAUAAUCAUCUCAUGCCUGACAUUCUUCCAUGGAACAGUGUGUGAGUUUCCUCACAUGCAAGCCAGACUGAAGAGGGAAAGGCUUUUGACCAGAUAAAUAGGCGAUGCAGCCCAGAAAGGAAGAGGGAAUGAGGCAGCAGAGUUGGGGAUUUUGUUGAAAGGGUGGUUGAACCCCUCUGUUUUUCUGCCUGUGAUUUCUCCAUUUUCAACAGCCCUUUUGUUUUACUCAGAAAUGGGAAUGAUGCAGAUAGAAUGCCAUUACAGCAAUAUAUUUAGGUCCUGUUCAAGUAAGGUAAAAAUUUCUCCUAUUCUCAUGGUGGUGUGCUUGUGUAAGUCAUCUUAUGCUGAUGUUGUAUCUCCAUUAGUUUCUACUCAUAUAUGCUAAUGCUACUAGUACUUCUAUUCAACAGCGAGGUAGCUCAGAAAUGGAGAGUAAAAGAGGCAACAGAGAGUCUGGUUUUUGUUGAAAGGGUGGUUGACCUUCUCUGUUCUUGCCAAUGAUUUCUCCAUAUUUCAACAGCCCUUUCGAUCUUCUGGAAAUGGAAUAUACAGAUACAGAGAGAUGAUAUAUAGUACAUUCUACCCGGUUUUAAUUACUACUUUUUUCCCAAUCCUUUUCAUUCAUUCCAUGGAAACUCUAUUUUUGGUCGUCUGUAAACUGUUGCUGCUAGCUUAAUCUGUCGGAUCACUAGAUGCCUUGAAACUUGAAAGUGAGGCGAUGAUGAUAUUUCUCGGUUUCUGUUUUUCUGAGCUACUCAUCUUGGCAAUUGAGAUUAACUGACCUGUAUCUUGGCGGGGCAACCAGGAUUAAUACCGGUUUUGCAGCCAUGGCGGCGAUGGCAUCUCUUUUACCCCUAUCAGGAACACCGAGCUGAGCCUCAAAUGUGUUAGUUUCCUCACAUGCAAGCCGGACUGAAGAGGGAAAGGCUUUUGACCCGAGAAAUAGGCGAUGCAGCCCAGAAAGGAAGAGGGAAUGAGGCAGCAGAGUUGGGGAUUUUGUUGAAAGGGUGAUUGAACCCCUCUGUGUUUUUCUGCCUGUGAUUUCUCCAUUUUCAACAGCCCUUUUGUUUUACUCAGAAAUGGAAUGAUGCAGAUAGAAGCCAUUACAGAUUUACAGUAACUUAUUUAGGUCCUGUUCAAGUAAGGUAAAAAUUUCUCCUAUUUUCAUGGUGCUGUGCUUGUGUAAGUCAUCUUAUGCUGAUGUUGUAUCUCCAUUAGUUUCUACUCAAUAUAUGCUGAUGCUACUAGUACUCCUAUUCAA